This 420-nucleotide ribosomal RNA is filed under the name Sphingobacterium sp. NB118. RNAcentral describes it as "bacterial SSU rRNA". It matches the Rfam family "Bacterial small subunit ribosomal RNA", at positions 1016 to 1435 of the family's 1533-position model. Lineage: Bacteria; Pseudomonadati; Bacteroidota; Sphingobacteriia; Sphingobacteriales; Sphingobacteriaceae. The record is from RNAcentral.
CCUUCUUCGGGACAGAAAUAGGUGUUGCAUGGCUGUCGUCAGCUCGUGCCGUGAGGUGUUGGGUUAAGUCUCGCAACGAGCGCAACCCCUAUGUUUAGUUGCCAGCACGUAAUGGUGGGGACUCUAGACAGACUGCCUGCGUAAGCAGUGAGGAAGGUGGGGACGACGUCAAGUCAUCAUGGCCCUUACGUCCGGGGCUACACACGUGCUACAAUGGAUGGUACAGCGGGCAGCUACACAGCAAUGUGAUGCCAAUCUCGAAAAGCCAUUCACAGUUCGGAUCGGGGUCUGCAACUCGACCCCGUGAAGUUGGAUUCGCUAGUAAUCGCGUAUCAGCAAUGACGCGGUGAAUACGUUCCCGGGCCUUGUACACACCGCCCGUCAAGCCAUGAAAGUUGGGGGUGCCUAAAGCAUGUAACC